This 588-nucleotide ribosomal RNA is filed under the name uncultured Ascomycota. RNAcentral describes it as "eukaryotic LSU rRNA". The stretch from base 228 to 381 matches the Rfam family "5.8S ribosomal RNA". Lineage: Eukaryota; Fungi; Ascomycota. The record is from RNAcentral.
CUUGGUCAUUUAGAGGAAGUAAAAGUCGUAACAAGGUUUCCGUAGGUGAACCUGCGGAAGGAUCAUUACAGAGUUCAUGCCCUCACGGGUAGAUCUCCCACCCUUGAAUACCUAUACCUUAGUUGCUUUGGCAGGCCGUGGAAACACCACGGGCCCCGGCUUGUGCGUGCCUGCCAGAGGAAACAAACUCUGUUUUUAGUGAUGUCUGAGUACUAUAUAAUAGUUAAAACUUUCAACAGCGGAUCUCUUGGUUCUGGCAUCGAUGAAGAACGCAGCGAAAUGCGAUAAGUAAUGUGAAUUGCAGAAUUUAGUGAAUCAUCGAAUCUUUGAACGCACAUUGCGCCCCUUGGUAUUCCGAGGGGCAUGCCUGUUCGAGCGUCAUUUAAACCAAUCCAGCUUGCUGGGUGUUGGGCCUUCGCCUCUAGGCGGGCCUCAAAAUCAGUGGCGGUGCUGCCAGGCUCUAAGCGUAGUAAAUCUCUCGCUAUAGGGUCCCGACGGUUCCCUGCCAGAACCCCCUAAUUUUUUUACGGUUGACCUCGGAUCAGGUAGGGAUACCCGCUGAACUUAAGCAUAUCAAUAAGCGGAGGA